CCUACGGGCGGCUGCAGUGGGGGAUAUUGCACAAUGGGGGAAACCCUGAUGCAGCGACGCCGCGUGAGUGAAGAAGUAUUUCUGUAUGUAAAGCUCUAUCAGCAGGGAAGAAAAUGACAGUACCUGACCAAGAAGCCACGUCUAACUACGUUCCAGCAGCCGCGGUAAUACGUAGGGGGCAAGCGUUAUCCGGAUUUACUGGGUGUAAUGGGAGCGUAGGCGGUUUUGUAAGUCUGGAGUGAAAGCCUGGGGCCCAACCCCGGGACUGCUUUUGAAACUGUGUAACUGGAGUACAGGUGGGGCAGGCGGAAUGCGUGGUGUAGCGGUGAAAUGGGUAGAUAUCAGGAGGAACACCGGCGGCGAAGGCGGCCUGCUGGACUGAAACUGACGUUGAGGCUCGAAAGCGUGGGGAGCAAACAGGAUUAGAUACCCGGGUAGUC
This 440-nucleotide ribosomal RNA is filed under the name uncultured bacterium. RNAcentral describes it as "partial 16S ribosomal RNA". It matches the Rfam family "Bacterial small subunit ribosomal RNA", at positions 338 to 795 of the family's 1533-position model. The record is from RNAcentral.